Molecule: ribosomal RNA, 328 nt
Filed under: uncultured bacterium
Lineage: Bacteria
Description: bacterial SSU rRNA
Rfam family: Bacterial small subunit ribosomal RNA
Source: RNAcentral
GAUGAACGCUGGCGGCGUGCCUAACACAUGCAAGUCGAGCGAAGCGCCUUACUUGAUUUCUUCGGGAUGAAAGUAUUGUGACUGAGCGGCGUAGGGUGAGUACGCGUGAGUAACCUGCCUCAUACGAGGGGGAUAACAGUUAGAAAUGACUGCUAAUACCGCAUAAGACCACAGCACCGGCAUCGGUGCAGGGGUAAAGGAGCUAAUCCGCUUUGAGAUGGCCUCGCGUCCGAUUAGCUAGUUGGUGAGGUAACGGCCCACCAAGGCGACGAUCGGUAGCCGGACUGAGAGGUUGAACGGCCACAUUGGGACUGGAGACACGGCCCAG